RNAcentral lists this long non-coding RNA (1770 nucleotides) under Zea mays. Its description in RNAcentral is "long non-coding RNA (ZMAY_LNC003695)". The record is from RNAcentral. Lineage: Eukaryota; Viridiplantae; Streptophyta; Magnoliopsida; Poales; Poaceae.
GGGAGUGGGGUAGGGGCUACCCUAGACCUAGGGUAUAAACUCGACCGCCGCCAUAUAUGUGCAGCUCAUGCCCCACGGUCCCUCCUCCCCGCAGACCCAGUGUUCCCCCGCCUUUUGAUUCCCACGGCCAAACGCUCCUCGGCCACCUCUGUGGCGUGAUCCGUCGUCGCUGCGCAAAGCCAUCGCCGCCAGGGUCGCUCUGCCACGUCGCCGACCGGGUGCCAGAUUCACGCCGUGUUUGUUGUGUGCCGGGGAAUUCUUCCGCCGCGGAGUAACCUCACCGUCGUUCCGUGAUUCCAGGGCUGAUCCGGGGCCAGUGCGGGGUUCCGGGCGUUCGCGUGGGUGUAACACGAGAGUUCAUGUGACAGUUGGGUCCAGUACUGGCACCGGGCGUCGACGAUUUCUCACCGGAGCACUCAACUCCGUCGUAAAUCCGCCUGGUCCGCGGACAGCUUUGCGCCCACCGUUUUCUCUGGUAAAAUUCCUCACCCUAACUCUGCCUUGAUCUCCUCUACGUGUUGCACACGCUGGGUUGUUGUUUGGAGCACUACGGCGUGAGGGGUGGCUUGCCGGCAAUGGCGCCGCCGCCCCUGGUUACUGGCGCCACCGUGGCACGGCUGGUGUUGGGGGGAAACACCCUGGUCGUCCGAUCCUCAUUGAACGGGAUAGAUUAGAUCGACGAUAACCUUUCGGCUCUUUAAAUCUAGUCCGUAGAAAUGUGAUCGGAGGGCUACGGUUGUUUUAAAUUCGGUCCGUUGAUGGUAGAUCCAAGCGCCUAGAAUGCAUCAUGGUUCGUCAUAGCCGGCUUUUAAUCUGGGCCGUCCGGUUUCUAUCCUGCAGCCAGGGAUCCACCAUACCCGUUCGCCGUAGGCAUUUUACACAAGAGUCCCUGAGAAAUAUAAGAAUCAACCCGCAGUCCUUGCGCUAGGAGCUCUGUGUCUUAGGAAAAUUUAUGUAGAGGCCCCUAUGUUUUCUGUAAAUGGUGAACUCAGUCCAGAGAACAAAAAAUCAAAAGAAUUCAUUUAGAAAAUACAUUUUUGUGUGAAAAUAAUUAUAGGAACUUAAUUAAUUCCUAGAAAAUACAUUUUAACUCCUUUUCAGUCCAUUCCAAUUUCUAUAAUUUUGUAAUAAUGUUGUUUAUCACCUAUUGCCUCUGUUUUGACAUGAAAACAAUAAUAAAAUUGAUCUCCUAAUUAAUCUCAUAUCAAAUACAUAAAAUCAUUAGAAAUUCAUAACUUAAAAUCUAUGACUCCGAUUGGACCCGUUCAAGUUGAGUUAGUCUCGUAUAAAUAUUUACUAUGCAAUAACAAUAUUUAUUAUACCAUGUCUCAUUAUUUUGUAAUUAGAUUUCUAUUUAACUUAUGUUGGUUAGUCUUGUUAAUGUGCUUAUCAUUAUAAUCUACUAGAAUAUGAUCUAAGGUCAAAUUAUAAUUUUGAUUAAAGUUGAGAUAAUUAUUUAUAGAAUAACCUCUUAUAUGAUUUAUAUUAACCAAUUUAUAAUAUAGUUCAAUAUUUUAAUCACAUAAAUCCUCUAUGAAAUCAUACUUUUUAAUCGUAACUCCAAUUUUAGUGGUUCUCAUUCCUACGAUCUCGUAGCGACGCGUAGAUCAUUAUUAUUCAGUUUGUACUUAUGUUUGGUGUGAUGUUAAUUUUUUCUAUACCAUGUUUGUUUGUAUUGCUACGACUGGCAUGAUGUCACGAGGAUCUGAAGAAUCAUUCUGGUACCUGGAAUCUCAAGUCCCAGGCAAGUUGUGCCCUUGACCACUUUUG